RNAcentral lists this long non-coding RNA (15982 nucleotides) under Prunus persica (peach). RNAcentral's name for it is "long non-coding RNA (PPER_LNC006628)". The record is from RNAcentral. Lineage: Eukaryota; Viridiplantae; Streptophyta; Magnoliopsida; Rosales; Rosaceae.
CGUUCAAAACAGAGUUGGUGUUUAUUUGGUUAAUAGCAACUUAAUCUUAAAUUUCAGUUGUGAUUUUUUAUCUCAUUCUAAAAAUGUCGUCGUGCUGUGGAGGCAAAUGUGGUUGCGGGGCUGGCUGCAAGUGCGGCAGCGGCUGUGGAGGGUAAGUUUCUGUCUGUUUUCCUGGAAACAAGAAAACUUUCCCAGAAAUUUUUUCUGCUCUGUUUUUUCUCUUUCUUUUUUUGUUGUCUUUAAAUCAGGCCCUGAUCAAAUUUUUUAUCAUUUUUCAUUAUGUGGGUGUUUAUGAAUCUUCAUGCAGGUGCGGGAUGUACCCUGAUAUUUCCAUGGAACAGAGCACCACAACUGAGACCCUUAUAAUGGGGGUUGCACCUCAAACCUCGUAUGUAUUUUGUCACAUCCAUGAAAUUCCAUAUGAUACUUUUUUACACUUUUCUCAUUUGAAGAUUUUGUGGUAAUUUUUUUGCUAAUUAAUUUGUAAUUGGGUUUUUAAUCUGCAGUCAUUUUGAGGCUUCUGAGAUGGGUGUUGUUGCUGAGAAUGGAUGCAAGUGUGGAGACAACUGCACCUGCAACCCCUGCAAGUGUGGAAAGUGAAAGAAAAAUGACAGCUUUUGAAGAAGAGGAUGAUGGACUUCUAAUAUAGUAGCAAGUAAUCUAUGCGUGUGUGGUUUUUAUGAUCCAAAAUACCAAGUUUGUGUGUUUUAGGAACCGAGUUAGGAACUAAGUUUUAGAAUAAAGUGGUCAUGGCCCGGCUCUUUGCAGAUCCUUCUAGGCUAGGAUCUGAUAAGGGUGAUCCUAGGCAUGCCUGCUUGUGUCUGUUUUCAUUGCACAAAAGUAGUAUCUAUAUAUGUAUGUGGGUUUGUGAGGUGUUUGUUGAUUGGUGGAUCAUAUUUUAUGUAAUUGUGAGAGGGGAUAAAGAGUUUUUAAUGUUAUGAAUGAAAACUAGCUCCUUUAUUUUACUUUAAUUUGUGGGAUUAAUUAUGGUUUUGGUGAUAAUGGUGACAUCUUUGUGCAUUAUUUAAGGAUUUGCAAAAGACAACACGGCAGGUCAACAAGAUAUCAUACUUAUCUAGAAGAGAUUUCAAUGUACAUGCGCUAACAAGACCUUGAACUUAUCUGGAAGAAAUUUCAAUUAAGUUUUAAGUAUGUACUAAUCAAACAAAUUAUUUAAGGAUUUGUAACCCAACAAAAUAAUAUGAAAGUAGUGGACUAUCUAUACUUUUUCGUGAGAAAAGUAGAAUUCUACUCUCAUGUUUUUUUUUUUGUCUUCUGUAAUUGAUAGAUUAUUGAGAACAGCCUCCUCAAUGCCAAAAGAACACUUUCACCCACUUUCACCCAUCUGUCAAUGGCAAAACUAGAUAAGAUUGCAAGCAAGUUGUAGAUUUGGGCAUAACUGAGCGGAUAAGUGCUUAGAGCGGAUGCGUUCAAUGUUAGAAUAUCGCUUGUAUAUGAAAAAUAAAAAUAAAAGAUUGCUAGGCUGAAAUUAAUCUGUCUACACAAAUCCAACACAGGGUCUUUUUUAGUCUUACAAGGACACGUAAUUCACAUCAAUAUGGAAUCUGAUGAGCUAAUUGUACAGACUCUGCUUCAUAAUGCUUACUACUUGACAUGUGAAAUCUCUGAGCAACUGGGAGUUGCGUUUGUUUGCUUAUCAAAUACUCCUACCGCAGCUUUAUUAAACAGGUUAACAAUCUGUUAAACAAAAUUUAAAAGUAGAUUAGCAUCUAAAUACAUCAUUUAAUGGAAAAAGUUUUGACUCGAAUGUAAAACUAUCUUUUAGGUUCACCUGCUUAGAUGAGAGACCUAUUUUCUCCAAAUCGCUCAGCUGAAACAUGACAUAUUCAACUUCAGAAUUACUGUGUUAAAUGUAAUUCAAAGUUCAUUUCACUGAGUUUUGCUUACCGAUUUUAAAGGGCUCGUUUCUCUGAGCUCAACUAUGUAUUCAGCCAUUUUGACACCUAUUCCCUGAAGGAUACACAAAAGAGAGAGAAUUUCAGAAGGCAGCAAAUCAGUUUUAAGAACACAAAUAUGUGCUGUUUGUUUGACAUGAACCUUCAACUCCAGUAGCUCCUCCCUGCAAUUAACAAAAAAACAGUCAAAUUUCAUUUGUACAAUUGAGUGUUUAAAAAAAAUUGAAAGAAAUGAAAAUGAGGAUAUUUUGAAAAGACAAUGAACCGUUACCUGUUGGCUGUAUUCAAGAAAUCAAUAUACUCUUUAAGCAGGACGUUCUGUGAAAUAAGAAACAGAGAGAUGAGGAUCACAUAUUCAACAGCUUAAACUUAUGGAGUUAAAAGUAACAAUUGUACCUUUAAGUUUGACCCACAAGCAGUGAAUUUAUGAAGUGGGGUGCGUGUUUUUUGACUUCUAUUGUUCCUCUCCGGAGGAGUUUUUGGAGUCUCUGGCUCAAAGAGAAGGGUGCAAUCUCCAUUUGUGAAUAAGGGUUCAAUGAGGGGCUUUUGCUUUAUAUUGGUGUUGAGAGGAGAGAGAGCUUUUCUUAAGGAACUUCGUAGUGUGCUUUUCCUCUCACUGACAGGUGAUGAGUCGAAAUUGUUGGCAGAGCUUUCCUCCUGGUUUGAUGCCUCACCUAUGCAGAUAUCAAUAUAGAAGCUAUUAAUAUUUCAAAUAACUAAACAUGCAAAAAUAAGACAACCAUUCAAUUUGUUCAGGGUAUUUGAAGCAGCAUAGCAAGUAAACAAUUCAUGCAUAGCUGAAAAAUACCGGGUAAACUUGUAUUUGAUUCCAAUACAGAUUCACCAGCUACAGCAUUGCCCUCUUCUUUAUCACCAGCUAAUUGCAGACUCUGAAAAGCAAUUCAGACUCAUAAAUACAAUGACAUAUAAUAUGAAGCGCAAGAUAACUAACUUGGAAUGCAUUUAGUAGCCUUUCAUUCCCAUGUGGAGCUACUAAACUAGAACUUUUUUCUAAGUUGUUAGCCAAUUAUAAUUCCCAAUAAUGUGAAAACCACAGUUACACAAUACAUGAUAGAAUGAGAAUGAUAAUCAAUGGGAGUUUCCUUAUUAAAUAGUAAUUACCUCCAAAUUAGAAUCUACGGUGCUUUCAUUAUAGAAAAUGUUCCUGAAAGGCACAGUGAUUAUCCUGCAAAAAAUUUUAACCAAUCAGGCAAGAGAGAGUAGUACAUAGCAUAAGGAUGUUCCAUUCAACUAGUUACUUGUACCUUUCUUUGGCAUUACAGGUGCUUCUGUUAGUCAAAACCUUGGCUUUCACAGAGCUGAGGUUGAUGGUGGGUUUCUUGACAUUGGCAAAAGAACUUGGAGUUUUCCCCAACAAGGGAGAAUUGAAUGCUUGAAUUCUUUGUGCACUCUUUGUCUUUCCUCUUGAUUCAAGCCAAGCACGAAGUUUGGCUUCCAUGUCAACUUUAACCUUUGGAGUCUCUUGCUUCUUAGCUGAACGAACAAAAUUGGUGAUGUGGCGUGACCGAGCUGCCAGGCUGACAGUAUGAACAGACUCCGGGUACUCUCCUGGAUUCUAUUAUCAAAGAAAAAUGGAUUACAAAUAAACCACCGAAAAAAAAAAUACAAGUGACAGGCCAGACCAAGGCAUUGCUAACUCAAACUCCUUACCAAGCAAGCAACCAUCAAAGCCUGACUCAUCCCACCUAGUGAGUCUUGCAAUAUACGAGUCAAUUUACUCUCCCUAUAGGGAACUCGGGAUAAGUUGUUGUUCAAUGCAUAAAUGACAUUAGACAAGGCAAACAAGGACUGGUUGAUCUUUGCACUUUCUUGUAGACGAAUCCCUUCGUUGCAAGUUCUUCGAUUAUCUUCAUUGCCUGUUUGAAGUACACAUGUGGAUUAAAUAUGAGAAGACAAAAACCAUAAACAAACUCAAUUCCCUAGUGAAUUUCACCUUACUUAAGCUACUGGAAAAAGGUUAGGAAUACGAAAAAGACCUGCUAAGUCUAUGAGAUUCAACUUCCCAGUAACAGCCGCAGAACCAUCAUCCCAAGGAGUGGAAACGGCAAUCACAAGGACCCCAUGGCUCCUACUAGAAACAUCAUUCAGACCUGUAUGUGCGAUUCUCCGCCUCUGAAUCCCACAAGAAAAAGCCUCAUAAAACUCAUCCAUGGACUUUACAGGGACCCGAGAGAGUCCCCUAAGAUGAAUCUGCCCAUCUUUGUCAUCCAAAACCGCAAUUUCCUUGGCUUUGAUCUCUAACAGGUCAUAACACCUGUCCAUAUAGACCUCGUAGUAUGAAAUUUCAACUGUGCUUCCUGUGCACUGGCACAUAGACAUGAUUGUGGACAUGGCCAGCGGCAUUAGACCCGGCAUCUCAUCUGUGCCCUGACACAUCAAUCACAUGCUGAAUUAAAUACUGCGGAAGAAAAUUCUUCAAAACAAAGACUUGAAGCUGCAUUUAGUUACUUGGGCAACACAAAAAAGUUUAUAGACAACUCUACCAUAUAAUUCAGAAUUUUCAUUUUCUUAAGGGAAAAGUAGAAAUGAAGUUCAGUACUUCAUUGAUCCUAAUACAAAGAUUUGAAAUUUUUUUGGGGCCAACCAAUGCAUUGAAGUUUCCACAUUCAUAGAAAUGUCUAUGAUUAACCAAAUUAAUGCCCUCGUCAAACUUAAAUGCCUUACUAAUGAGGGAAAAAACACUGAACCCAACAAAACUUUCAUCUUUUUGGAUAAAUCAAAUUCAAACCUGCAUAGUGUAAGUCUUUCCACUGCCGGUAGCUCCAUAGGCAAACACCGUAGCAUUGCAGCCAUGAAAGAGUCCUGGAAUCAAAGGGCUCACUUCUCUGUAGAAGAUCCGACCAACAUUGUUGUCCUCUUGGGCAAAGAAAGAGUCCAACCGGUAACACUCGUUUCGGCUACACCCAGAAAACCAAAAAUAAUCCAUAAUUCAAAACCCAGCUUCCAAAAAAAGAUAAAAACCCAAUAAAUUUCUUCGAAUUAUCUGACAGAAAAUUAAGAAAAUCCCUCACCUUGAUUCUUUAUCUUUGAGAUAAACAACCACUUCCUCAGUAGAAGACUCACAUUCUUGUUCAAUUACUGAAACACACGGCGUCUGAUCUCCGUUAUUGGCAGCGAUCUCGUGGGGAAGAAAAGGACGAACCCUCACAAUGACCCUGACCUUAGAACUUGAAUUGGGGUUCAUGGCUUUUGCUGGAGUUGCAGAACUAUCUAGAACUAGACCACUCUCCAUUACAGAAGAAAAAUCUAGCUUGAUUGAGCUUGAGAGAAAGAGAGAGACUGGGGAGUUGAAUUUGCAGAGAGAGAGAGAGAGAGGAGGGAAUUGUAACUGAAAGCAGUAGAUUAGAGGGAAGAAGAAGGUGGUUUUGAAACUAAUUGACAAUACCGUUGGUAGAGACAGAACAAAAAAGCUUGGGCCUCGCUUUUCUAGUUUGAAUUUGGAUAUGGGGAGCAAACUUGCCGUUGGGCCUGUGGGCCCCACUAUUUUCUAUAUUAUUAAGUGCGCCCCUAUGGUCAAAAUUUGAAUUACCAAAAACUUGGAGGAUCUGCCAGCAGGCGGCCUAAAUGCGUUAAAGGGUUUAAGACAGAGGCUAUAAACCCUAAAACCCCAAAAUUGUUGGAAUCAAAGACGAAGAUGGACAAAGGCAUGCUGGCAGCGGACUUGGAGGGUCUUCCUGAAGAAGAUAAGCAUAGAAUGGCCACCUUGAUCGACCAGCUUCAGAUUCGUGACAGGUUUGUGUGACUUUUUAUGUAUAAAAUAUUUGUAAAUAUAUGUUUGUGCUUUGUGAAAAUGGAGUGUCUUUGUCUAUUUCUUGUUCUUGAAAUAGUGAAUUUAUUAAUUUAUAUCUAGUGAGACAUUUUCUGAUAUGGUGCAUGGUAGAUUGAAAUCUUAGAGAAAUACCAAUCAUGAAGAACCCACAAGAUGAAUUUAUUUAUUUAUUUUGCAUAAUUGUGUAUUGAAAAUAUGGAAUGAGGAUGUAAUUUCAGUGUAAUAAGUACAGGUUUGUAUACGCAGAUGAUGAUUAUCAUGAGUUAUAAUUAUGAAGUCUCUGGUUUCUGUUAUGUUUGUCCAAAAUUGCAGCCUGAGGAUGUAUAAUUCAUUGGUGGAGAGAUGCUUUACUGACUGUGUAGACACCUUUCAGCGCAAAGCCCUGACCAAGCAAGAGGAUUCUUGUGUUCGUAGGUGCGCCGAAAAGUUCCUUAAGCAUUCGAUGCGCGUUGGCAUGAGAUUUGCAGAGCUUAACCAAGGAGCAGCAACUCAAGAUUAAGCUAAGCUCCGUAUGAAUCAUCUUUGGCAUGGAAAUCUUAUAAACCUUUUGAAUUGGUUUAUGACAGGUGCAAUUGGUUUACCCUUGGUUUUAGAAUUAUGCUUCUUACAUUGAUUGGAUUUGUACCCUUAUAAAGAAGAAACUUCUUGUCAGGUUUUACAGUUUAGCUGGAUAUGAAUCAGUUGCUAACUUAUUACAUAUAAAUUUUGUUCCAUUUCCAUAUGUUCUUGGAAAGGCAUGAACAAAAACUUUUGCCCCUUUUCCAUAUCAGAUUGUGUGACUUUACAAUAAGAGAAGCUGGGUAACUAGGUUUGUGUUAUCAGCUUGAUUAGCUUGCUAGCUUUCUCUUUUGUUUCCCUUAAAUUAUACUUUAUUUGGGACAGUGAUCUUGACAGUGAACCAACCAAGUGCUGCUUAUUGUUCACAUUAGUUUAGAGUACAAUUGGUUGGUAAAAAAGAUUUGACUUCUGAGCUUUGGCACGAAGGCCAAAGAUGACAGAGGCCAACAUAUGAUUGAGAAUUGUCUUGAGGUGCAGAGCUUGAAUUGAAUAUGCUGUGAUAUAUGGUCAAUUCUGUGCUUGCAUACUUUUACUUAGUUUUUCAACCAUGUAAGAUUGUUCCAAAUCAGAUUUUUCAUCCAUUUUUAUUAAUGGAACACGUUACAUAAGGCAUCAAUUACUGUCCAAAUUAUAUCUUUCAUUCAAUGUGGUUCAUGAGAUUUAAACUUAUGAUAUUUUUUCAACAAAAUUAAAAAUGAGUGUCUCAAAUGAUGGUUGGCAAUCUUGUCGUCGGUUUAGUUCCUAUUAUUUGAUUAUAUUCUCUCUCUUUUUUCAAGUAUUAUUUGAUUAUAUUCACCAAACUCAAAAGAGCAGCAAAACUAACGGGCCCAAGAAAACAAAACUAAAACGAACAAAAAUUGCUCGACCAAUUUGCAAUCAAACCCCUAAAACAAUUCAUAAGCUUAAAUGAGCACUACUACCGUCACUUGAAGCAACACUACCAUCAAAGAUGGUCUCAAGCAGGUUGCAGCAAACUCCGUCAAAUGUGUAGAACUAGUUAUGGGAAUCAAACUACAAUUUAGACAAAAAAUACUAUACAGUUCGGAUUUGAUUGUCGAUGAAGUAUGAAAAAGAAAAAGAAAAUGGUCAAGUUCAGGGUUUUCCCGCCAACCAACGGUCCAGAUCAAUGAGAAUAGAAACAAUCAUAGCACAGAAAGACAAAGACCAUCAGGCACCGUACACUAAGCCAUGAUCUGACGUUCCAGCGAACAUUAAUACCCUAUUUAUUAUAGUUAAACGUUUCUUUCCAAACAAAACCCACUUAAACCACGAGCUAUUUAUGUCCAAUCCUACGGUCCGAAAAUGCCCGCGAAGCAAGCCGCCCAUCCAACGGCUCCAAACUCGUUCGAUAUUUAACAAAGAGCCUAGAGUGCCGUUUGAGGUUCAAACUUUUGGUUUUGGUCCCCUAACGUUCUGGAUGAACCGUCAACCGCCGUUAAGUGAUAGGGUUUUCUAAAGCUCACAAAAACUCAAAGCCCUUUCGAUAACGGUAAUUAACGGAGACGUCGGUGCAUAUAUAUUCGUUAUAAAUUUAUAAUAGUUUUUAUUAUUAUUUCCUUUUAACCUCUGUUUCUUUCUCUCUCUCUUCGUUUCAACGGGCGAGGAUUUUUCGAAACCAAAAAGCUCCCUUUCAUGUUUCAGAGAAGAGGCUUCUGAAAUCUGUUCGCCUAAUCGAUGAGCUCGAAUUCGAUUCCCGCCACUUCUUCACAAGCAUGGGUACUCUUACUUUCAGAAAAUGGUUUUUGUUUCUUGAAAGAAAAAACUUUUCUUCUUCCUAUUUUGUUGAUUUGCUUUCAUGUUUUUUCACUGGUCUCGAUCAAGUUUCCACGUUUUCUUGGACUUCAAGUUGCUCCGAUUUGUGCUGGAUUUAUUUGGGUUUUGGAUUUAAGUCUUGUAAUUCUCUUUAAUUUGCGUUUUUGUAACAGUUUUUUGAUCUGGAAACUCUUUUUAAGAUCUGGGUCUUGCUUGUCUGGGUUAUGGCGGUGGGAUUUUUAAGAUUUUGGAGUAAAUUUAGGGUCUGUUUUAGGGUUUUUAGUGUUUAUGAUUCGUUUGAGGGGUUAUUUUUGAAGGGUUUUGUUUUAUGUUUGUGUGUUAUGUAUCUAAUUAUUGAUUAGGAUUUUGAAUUUUGGAGAUUAUUUAUAGGAAGAGAUGGAGGAGGUAAAAUUAGAAGAGUGUUGCCUUGAGAAUAAGCAAUCAACGGCUGCUUCCAGCUCGUCUGUGUCCGAAGGCAGUGGCAGUGCUAUUCUCAAGUCCCCAGGGGUUUGCAGCCCAGCAUCAACUUCUCCGACUCACCGGUACUCUCCCUUAAUUCCUAACAGCUGUAAUUUAGUUACAACUAUAGUGAUGUUCUCUGUUUAAAAAUCAUUCUCUUCAUAACCGGGAUUAAAUUAUGAAUGUGAUGUUUAUUUUAGGUUUCACGCAUUUGCUUUUAGACCUUUUAAUUUAUGAUUCUCAAUGAGUGUUUGGAUCCUCAUCUACUGGAAAAUGGAUAUGCUGAUCGAUUUUUGUUGUGAUCAUUUUUCAUUGUUUAUAAUUAUCAUCAACAGUGUUGUGGUUAGUGAACUGAAAUAUGUGAAUUUGAUCUUUCAGGAGGACUAGUGGUCCUAUUAGGCGAGCCAAAGGCGGUUGGACUCCACAGGAGGUCAGCAUUUCAUUCUGUACUUGUGUUCACUUCUUUGUAAUAUCAGCUAGAAGCAUGAACAUUUUUGUGUUUGUUACUAGCACAUUGAAGGGAGAGGUUCAUCAUUGUCAAUCAUCAAAUCAUCUAAUUUGGAAAGGCCUGAAACUGUCAUUUCUUUUAGACUUUCUGGUUUUAUUACUUCUGUUUUCAAUAAUGUACACCGUCUCUAUCUCACCCAUUUUCACAUGUUGCUGCUUAGAUACAUGCUCUUAUGUUUUCUAAGCCAUAACUCUUUUUGGUGCGUGAUUUUAAUUUGCAAUAACAUGUUGAUUGGUCACAGGAUGAGACAUUAAGGAAUGCGGUUGCAGCUUUUAAGGGGAAGAGUUGGAAGAAAAUAGGUUUGUCUCUGUCCUGAUUUAUGUUGUGUAGUUGCAAAAUUUCAGUUGUUAUGGUGCUUUUAGGUAGCAGUGAGUCUGCUCAGGCAAUGUGCUCCCGUAACUUAAUGAGGUCUUUUAAAUGGUAGAGAUUUUAAUAAACUUAAAGAAAUCUUAUUUUGGCUGAACAAUAAGAAUAUAUUCAGAGCUCUAAAAAUUCAAAGCAAACCAAUCAUAUGACAUAGAUGGACUCCCAGUAGACUGGGUAACUGUUCGUUCAAUCCACUAAUUUCUGUUCUACCUAUGUUGUAAAUUACCAAAAGGGGGUAGAACAGUAUAUAAAUUACACACACGACUAGAAACCUAGUCUUGGCUGUAUUACCGAGUAUUUUAUUUGUUGUCAUAUUAUGCUUAAAUUCAGGCAACUAAUCUAAUAUUUGGAACAAUGUGUAUGCAGCUGAAUUUUUUCCUGAUAGAUCGGAAGUGCAAUGUCUGCAUCGGUGGCAGAAGGUUCUUAAUCCAGAUCUUGUUAAAGGACCGUGGACUCAAGAGGUUGGAACCUGAUACCAUCCUUACUUUUUGUGAUCCUUUCUUGUAGUUUACGUUGAACUUUCUUUAACUUGUUUGUUUUGUAGGAGGAUGAUAAAAUCAUUGAAUUGGUAGCAAAGUAUGGACCUACAAAAUGGUCGUUAAUAGCUAAGUCUUUGCCCGGCCGUAUAGGGAAACAAUGCCGGGAGAGGUAACCUUAAUAAGUUUAAGUCCUUAUGUUGUUGUCAAAUGCGACCCUGGAACUCUUGAGCACUAUAAUGCUGAUCUGAUCUGUUUCAUGUUCCUCUUAAAAUGAUCUUUUUCUUUCUUUCUGGAAUUAAGAUUUAUUCUUUUUAUUACCUUUAGUUUUGUAUGACUCUGAUGCUUUAUGCAUCAAUGUUAUUCCUUCCAUUGGCUUUUAUCUUCCAAUCGAUUUCUUCAUGAAAAGCAAAUAAAUGGUUUGGGCAGUGUAUACACUUGUAAACACAAUGGAACAAAUUUUUUUUUUUAAAAUACAGGUGGCACAAUCAUUUGAAUCCAGACAUAAAGAAGGAUGCUUGGACGUUGGAGGAGGAAUUAGCACUUAUGAAUGCCCAUCGGAUACAUGGGAACAAAUGGGCUGAAAUAGCUAAGGUUUUACCUGGAAGGUAUCUUUCUUUCUUGAUUUUUUAUUUAUGAAUGGCGUUGAGGUGCUAAAUUAGGGCAACAUUGAGGUACAUGUAUUUUGAAAAUCAAGUUCUUUGGUAUUAUUGUGCGUAUGUACUGUUUACUAAGUCAAAUUUUGUAUAACUUUGUGUUUGUAGGACUGAUAAUGCAAUAAAGAAUCAUUGGAAUAGUUCCUUGAAGAAAAAAUUAGAUUUCUAUUUGGCUACUGGGAAACUUCCACCAGCUGCAAAGAAUGGUUCCCAGAAUGGUGCCAAAGAGACAAGUAAAUCCACUGCAACUAAAAGAUUACUUGUUUGUUCAACUAAAGGAUCAGAUUCAACUGCUCAGACAUCAUCUGGAAAUGCAGAUGUAUGUAAGCUAGAUGAAGAUGGCAAGGAUCAGUUCGAGUCCUCCGCCCCACAUCAGGAUUUGGGUGCUUCAUCAAGUGUUCUUCCAAAUGAGCCUGCUGAUUCUGAAGGUGUAGAAUGUCAGCUGAGAUCAUCCUUUAGAGAUCUUAGUUGCUGCAACUCAGAGUCAGGGUCAAAGUUUGAGAAUUUUGCAGUAAACAGCAAGCCCCAGAUUGAGAGUAUCAUUAACAGCCAGGCAGAGUCUGAGAAUUGUGGAUUUAACAACCUAGUAGAUGAAGACAGAGUUAAGAGAACACCUGUGCCAGUUGAAACUCCAGGCUACGGCUCUUUGUACUAUGAACCACCGUUAGAAAGUUGUGGUCCAUUUGAUUCAGGUUUUUCAAGCAUGCGUUGCUUUCAACAUGAUUACGCUUCUAGUCCAAAUGUAUCACCUAUAAGUUUCUACACUCCGCCUUGUGUGAAGGGCAGUGGUUUAUGCAAUCGAAGUCCUGAAUCAAUUUUGAAAAUGGCUGCCAAGACCUUCCCCAAUACUCCUUCCAUCUUGCGAAAGAGAAAGAAUACUUCCCAAGGACAUUUGCCUCCUAAUAAAAUUGGGUUGGUGGAUUGUGAAUCAGUCAGGGAAGUGCUUAAUGUUUCUGAUGAACAGGAAAGACACAAAAACAGUGCGGAAAUGUCUGGGUCUCAAGAAGAAAGUUUGUGUGAGAGUCCAACCAGUCAAGGUAUCAGCACCAUUGGGCCUAAUGGUAAGGCUUUUAAUGCAUCUCCUCCAUACCGGUUAAGAGCCAGGAGGACUGCUGUUUUCAAGUCUGUGGAGAAACAACUUGAGUUUACAUGUGACAAAGAGUAUGAUGGUAAUUCUAAAUCUGUGGAGUUGUCUGCAAAUGGAGGCUCUGGUGUUAUCAAAGAUUGUUCUCAUGCAACAAAGAUGGAAGUGACCUAGGGCAUGCACUGUAAGUUACAGUUUUGCUUAUCAUUGUUCUUGAAAUCUUUUUUUGGAACUGAUAUAGGUUCAUGCUUGGUAAAGCUGUCUUUUAUAUUUUACUUGAGGAUGGAAACUGGAUCUGAUCAUGUCUCUGCAUGGAGGAUCUAUGUAUGACAUAUAAUUGCUUGGUCAAGUGGUGAAUUAUUUAUGAUUAUAGCUUAUCCAGUUGUUGAAUUUUGUCCUACCAUUAGAUUUUUAAUAACACACCUGACAUGAUACUUAAAUGCAAAGAUGACAAGCUUGCUGAGGAUAGUGCAUAGAUGUUUUAGUUUUCUGAUAAAGGAAUCAAAGUUGUCAUUCUUUGCAUUAUGGAUAUUAAGAGUUGGAUCUAUUUCCUUCCUCAUUCUUUUCAUUUUGUAGCCUUUGUUGCCAAAGUUAGAAAAGAGCCAAACAAUCUUGCCGCCUUUGUUAGAGUAAAGUUACCAUUAGAAAAGAUUUGUGAAGAUCCUAAGUCUCUUCAAUAUUGGUGGUACAGAAUCCAAAGUGAUAGAUAAGUGGAAAUGUGAAACUUUCUUUUGUUUAUAUGAACUGAUGAAGUAAACUAUCUCCUAGAUAGUGGUGAAGGAAUUUGUGUACUUGAAGUUGUUUUUAUUUUCCUGGUUAGUGAUGAAAGAAAUAGUGUUUGCAUAUUUUCUCACUGUAUCUGCUCUAAAUAUUCACUUUCUUUAAGCCCUUUUCUUUCGGCCUGCUAUUGGGUUCAUCAUUGAAAUAGCGAUGGAAUGAAGCAAUAGGCAAUUUCAAAUAAGUUUCUGAUUUGGUUUCCUCUGUUAUUAUUCAGGUACAAAGGAGGGUGAUUCUAUUGAAGUUGGCUGACACUUUUGAAUUGGUGAUAUUUCCAAGUCUACAGAGCUCUUUUGAAAAGCAAUUUAUCGAUUUAUCAGACCACUCUCUGGUCUCGCAUCUUGGAUGCCAUACAAUUCAUUAACUUGCAAAUACACCACCUGAUCGUUACAUUGGAGGGGUUUUUCAGCACAGCAACUUGACAAAAUACAGUGGCAGUGGGCUUCUGUUUUGUGUAGAAUAAAAAUGAUAGGCCCCAAUACUUGUGAAAAUAUAUUGCUUGUACAGAAAACCCAUCAGCAAAGGAGCAAUGAUGCUUUAUGCUUGAAAAUUCCCUUAAUGAAAGCGUAGCUCCAGUCAUCUGUUUGGUUCUUUACCAAUUUUAACUUUACUACCUUCACACACACGUAUUCUUUAGAAAUCUUAGUAUUGUUCUUUAUGGCGCCAACUCUUUUUGUCUCCCAUUUUCCUUGGGCAGUGGAUGUGGGAAUUUUCAUUAUCUUGAUAAGUUUGUUUUGUACAUAGAAGGAAAGCCAAAUUGUUAAUAACCAAUUUUUUAUUUUAUUUUUAUACAAGCAAUAUUUUACUUUAAUCUAAUCUAAAUUAUGAGGAGAGAGAUUCAAACUCGGUUGCAUAGUGGGGAGCACAUUCGUUCUAGCCAACUUGACUAAGCUUAUGUCUGCUGUCAAUGAACAUUUAAUCCAGUGCACUGAGUCUCCCCCCUAUUGAAGGAUCUCUCAUGUACGAUUAUGUUAGAUUUAGAAAAACAAAACUAAAAAAGAAGGAAACUGGGUUGCAAAAUUAGCUUAAUAGGAUGUACAACGAAAUUCAAAGGCUUAUUUAUUGAUAUGGCCCUUGUGCUUUCAAAAUAGUCUCAGAUUACCAUAUGUUCUUUGAAAUGUCUCAAUAUAUCACCUAUACUUUCAAUAAGUGUCUCACGUUAGCUAUUCCGUCAGAUUUGAGAGAAGUUCCUUUAGCUGAUGUGGGGAUUUCAGAUUUGGGAGAAAAUGGGGAAUUUGAUUUGGGGAUUUCAGAUUUGGGAGAUGAAGGAUGGUUUGAUUUGGGGAUCUCUCAAAUCUGAAAUCCCUAAAUCAAAUUCCUAAUUUUCUCCCAAAUCCCUAAUUUUCUUCCAAAUAUGAACCUCCAGAUUCCCAAAUCUAAAAUUCCCUCAAACUAAUAUUCUUCCCCCAAAUUCCCCAUUUUCUCAACCUGACUAACCCUUCCUCUCCCUUGUUAAGAGAUUGAAAAGAAGUGGGGGGCAUAUCAGCUAACAGAACUUCUCUUAAAUCUGACGGAAUAGCUAACAUGAGACACUUAUUGAAAGUAUAGGUGGUAUAUUAAGACGUUUCAAAGAACAUAUGGUAAUCUGAGACUGUUUUGAAAGCACAAGAGACAUAUCCAUAAAUAAGCCAAUUUCAAAAGAAGCAACUUUCAGAAAACUGUGAUGAAAACCCCAAAAUCGAAGCCAAAUCGCGCAACAGUUAUCAGGCUAGAAGACGCACAGUAUAUGAUUGUGCCAAAGAAAGUAUGCAAUGAAAGGUGCAAAGAUUUCUUCAAUUUUCCUUUUUUUAAUACUAUUUAUAUUACUAGAUAGGUGUCAGAUGCUUAUAUUGGUAGACUGAAUUUGUCCGUCAUCAGAACGACAAUAUUUGUCCAGCAAAGAAAAAAAAACUUUGAACAUGAACAUCGGAGAAAAGUUGACCAGCAGUUUUAGGCCUUUUAAGGGACAUUUGCAAUGCAAUUACUAGCCUAAACUUGAAGGCAAUUCUUUUUAUUUUCAAACUAUUAGCUUUGGCAACUAUAUCAAAGGAUUUAUCACCAAGCCCAACUGAAACAUUUUGAAAUCUCUCGUAACAGCUCCAGAAGUCACUCCCCCUCCUUCCCCUCCCCCCCUCAGCUCUCUGAUAAUUAAAAAGAAUGUAAUAACAAAACAAUAAAUAACGCCACAAGGUGAGGGAGAGAGAGCAAGAGGGGUGGACUGAGUUCCUCUCCAUGCAAAUGCCACUCUACCCUUAACCAGUGGCUCGUGACUGAUGUUAUAAAAUAUCUAUGUACAACCGUUUCGUGAUGACUCCACAACCCUGUAUGUUGCCAGGCUUCAGCCUUGAGCAUCAUAUUGAACUGUACAACCAUUAAAAUAAAAAACAAAUGGAACAACCUGCCGACAGAUGGUCUUCCCUUGGAACCAAAUUUUCAACAUGCGGAGAGGAAAUCCAAGCAUCUGCCAACGUAGGUGGACAAGAUAUUUAGUAACAGUAGGAAAAUAAUCUUUAACAAGCAAACUAUAGAAGUAAGGCCACAGGCAAAGAGUAAAAUGUAGUCGGAAAUUUUAUAGCGUUCCAUAUUGUUCAGAACUUUAGUUUAAAACAUAGCCACUAACCUCAAUGUGCGGUAAACUGGACCAUUAAUGCAAGGUGCAGAUUUAUUGUCAGAACUGGAUAUCCUCUGUUACUAUCAAGAAUCCUUUGUCAUCCCCUGACAUAAAUCUGUGUCACGAUAUAUACCGCCUGAGAUGCCAAACUAGAAUAUUCAGCAACUUGAAUAAAAUGAACACACACCAUGACUUUCAUGAUUGCCUUUACCUUCAAAUCUAAACUAAACCAUGAAGAAAGAACCAAUAGUAGUUUGCCCAAGAACCUUGGAACUUUGAUCAAGACCAUGAGAAGCAACCUGCCACGCAAAACAUAAACUAUUUACCAUAAAACUAAACGCUACCAAGAAUAUUUUUCAAUUGGAACGUAUAAAUUAAGUAUGCUUCUUUAUGAAAACACAGAACAGAACUGCUCAGUUUCAACAUAACACCGUUGUCAGGUUUGCCACGACAAUGUCAUUGAUGGUGGGGGUGGGGCAAAGGGCUACAGGUGGAAGGGAGGGGCGUGAGAGGGAGGGCCAAAGUUUUUAUUCAACUUUUAAAUGAGUGAUAUGUAAGUUAUUUGGAAGAAGAAUUUACCUAUAAAUUACCAUAAGCAACUGUUAAGUGGCAACGAAUUUCAACAUUUAGGUAAAAUAUGAUGCAAACUUAAAAUGUAGCAAAAGAUUCUCACCAAAUAAGUUAAAGCUGCAUAGCGUUCGUCAUUCAAGUACAGCGGCUUUCCUCUUUGCAUUUCAACAUCCUGAAUUUUUUUUUACAAUAAUACAGAAACAUAUAGACCCCUAUAAAUCAAUGAAUGCAAAUAGGAACAAAAACAAGAACAGAAGCAUCCACAGUUACUUCUUCCAACUUCUUCAUUUUUUUCGUAGGCAUUUCUGCAUUUUAUUCAGAGAAAGAAAAACAUAAUAACCGUGUGCAAUAAAGAAAGGGGGAAAUGUCUAAACAUCCAGCAAGGAGCUCAAUUAACAAAGGAAUUAUGUCCUCUUAAAUGCGUAAUCAAUUUAGCCUUCUUUUGCUUCAUUCUAUCCUGUGAAACUCUAAAGUUCUGGC